AGGCUUGUCCGGGUUGCAUUUCGAUCCUCCGGUGGCUUCUCCUUGUGAGGUGCUGCCGGUGCGGCCUUUGUAACUCGUCUUGCGAUGGGACGACGCAUGAGUGGUUGUUAGGAUAUGUUUCCCACGCAGGCUCCGUGUACCUGGCAUCGAACUGCGUGGGCCUAUCCAUCUCAUUCGUGAGUUCGCCUCGGCGCCUUUAGGGUCGGUUGCGACUACUCGUUGGGUUCCUGUGCUUGAUACCGAAUUCGGUAGUCGGAUGGAUUGUUCCCCGUUUUGGUUCAUCGAUCCUCCUCUGCCUCGUGAGGCGUUGGUGGAUAUCGUGCGGGCGUCGACGCUUUCCUUCCGAGCCGUUGCCUACCUUCGGGAGCCACUGCUUGUGAUGGCGCGUAGAUGCUGCCGGCACUCUCGGGUACGGAGAUUUUGAUGGUUAUCGCUUAGGUCUUCGUCGACCUUCGUGAUCGUAACGUAUCGAAGCACUCUUGCUUCUGUUCGCAUGACCCUCGUGCUCGUCCGAGAGCUCGCGGAGCCUCUUCGUUCCGUGUUCUUCUCGGGGAGCCUUCGAGGUCUACGAAGGAAUGC
Molecule: unclassified non-coding RNA, 579 nt
Filed under: Merianthera pulchra
Lineage: Eukaryota; Viridiplantae; Streptophyta; Magnoliopsida; Myrtales; Melastomataceae
Description: partial external transcribed spacer
Source: RNAcentral